RNAcentral lists this ribosomal RNA (340 nucleotides) under Liancalus virens. RNAcentral's name for it is "partial 12S ribosomal RNA". Lineage: Eukaryota; Metazoa; Arthropoda; Insecta; Diptera; Dolichopodidae. The record is from RNAcentral.
UAAAAAUGUAAAAUAUUAAAUUAGAGUAGUAAUAGUUAUGGUCUUGAAACUCAAAAAAUUUGGCGGUAUUUUAGUCUAUUCAGAGGAACCUGUGGUGUAAUCGAUAAUCCACGAUGAAUCUUACUUAAUUUUGUUUUUCAAUUUGUAUACCGCCGUUAUUAAAAAUUUUUGAAGAAUAAUAAUUUUUAAAAUUUCGUAUUAGAAAAAAAGUCAGGUCAAGGUGCAGUUUAUGUUUAAGUAUUUCAUGGGUUACAAUAAAUAUAUUUAUAUGGAUUAAAUUAUGAAAUUAAUUUAUGAAAUUGGAUUUGAUAGUAAAUUUUUAAAGAUAAAAAAAUUGAUU